CAACAGCUAGAGUUUGAUCCGUGGCUCAGGACGAACGCUGGCGGCGUGCCUAACACAUGCAAGUCGAACGGAGCUGUUUUGGAUUUUCUUUCGGGAAUUGAAGUUACAGCUUAGUGGCGAACGGGUGAGUAACGCGUGAGCAACCUGCCUUUCAGAGGGGGACAACAGUUGGAAACGACUGCUAAUACCGCAUAAUGUCAUUUGGAGGCAUCUCCGGGUGACCAAAGAUUUUAUCGCUGAAAGAUGGGCUCGCGUCUGAUUAGCUGGAUGGCGGGGUAACGGCCCACCAUGGCAUCGAUCAGUAGCCGGACUGAGAGGUUGAUCGGCCACAUUGGGACUGAGAUACGGCCCAGACUCCUACGGGAGGCAGCAGUGGGGAAUAUUGGGCAAUGGGGGCAACCCUGACCCAGCAACGCCGCGUGAGGGAAGAAGGUUUUCGGAUUGUAAACCUCUUUUACCGGGGAAGAAGAAAGUGACGGUACCCGGAGAAAAAGCCACGGCUAACUACGUGCC
This 513-nucleotide ribosomal RNA is filed under the name uncultured organism. Its description in RNAcentral is "SSU rRNA". It matches the Rfam family "Bacterial small subunit ribosomal RNA", at positions 1 to 509 of the family's 1533-position model. The record is from RNAcentral.